RNAcentral lists this ribosomal RNA (497 nucleotides) under uncultured bacterium. RNAcentral's name for it is "partial 16S ribosomal RNA". It matches the Rfam family "Bacterial small subunit ribosomal RNA", at positions 28 to 507 of the family's 1533-position model. The record is from RNAcentral.
GAUGAACGCUGGCGGCGUGCCUAAUACAUGCAAGUCGAGCGAACGGACGAGAAGCUUGCUUCUCUGAUGUUAGCGGCGGACGGGUGAGUAACACGUGGAUAACCUACCUAUAAGACUGGGAUAACUUCGGGAAACCGGAGCUAAUACCGGAUGAUAUUUUGAACCGCAUGGUCCAAAAGUGAAAGACGGUCUUGCUGUCACUUAUAGAUGGAUCCGCGCUGCAUUAGCUAGUUGGUAAGGUAACGGCUUACCAAGGCAACGAUGCAUAGCCGACCUGAGAGGGUGAUCGGCCACACUGGAACUGAGACACGGUCCAGACUCCUACGGGAGGCAGCAGUAGGGAAUCUUCCGCAAUGGGCGAAAGCCUGACGGAGCAACGCCGCGUGAGUGAUGAAGGUCUUCGGAUCGUAAAACUCUGUCAUUAGGGAAGAACAUAUGUGUAAGUAACUGUGCACAUCUUGACGGUACCUAAUCAGAAAGCCACGGCUAACUACGUG